UCAUCAUGCCCCUUAUGACCUGGCUACACACGUGCUACAAUGGCUGGUACAACGAGUCGCGAGUCGGUGACGGCAAGCUAAUCUCUUAAAGCCAGUCUCAGUUCGGAUUGUAGGCUGCAACUCGCCUACAUGAAGUCGGAAUCGCUAGUAAUCGCGGAUCAGCACGCCGCGGUGAAUACGUUCCCGGGCCUUGUACACACCGCCCGUCACACCACGAGAGUUUGUAACACCCGAAGUCGGUGAGGUAACCAUUUGGAGCCAGCCGCCUAAGGUGGGAUAGAUGAUUGGGGUGAAGUCGUAACAAGGUAGCCGUAUCGGAA
This 320-nucleotide ribosomal RNA is filed under the name uncultured bacterium. RNAcentral's name for it is "bacterial SSU rRNA". It matches the Rfam family "Bacterial small subunit ribosomal RNA", at positions 1190 to 1510 of the family's 1533-position model. The record is from RNAcentral.